Molecule: non-coding RNA, 1666 nt
Organism: Chrysemys picta bellii (western painted turtle)
Lineage: Eukaryota; Metazoa; Chordata; Testudines; Emydidae
Source: RefSeq, a predicted model, not a curated record
UAAUUCUUAAAGUUGGGUUUCUGGUAAAUUUCUUGCAAGUGUAUUGGUGUGAAGAAUGUGUAUAAAGAGCGGGAAUGGGGUUAAGAAUAGGGGUUGGAGGAAAAGAUUUCUAGGGAUAAACUAGAAAAGAGAAGUACAGUAUGGGGGGAAGAUGGGGCAAGGAAACUCAAAGUAUGAGGAAGUUGGUAGACAAUAAAACAUACAUCAAGAAAUAGAGGAUAUAAAGGGGGAAAGAAGAAAAGACUGAAAAUAAUUGAGGUUUGGUCUACACUACAAAGUGAGGUCAAUGUAAGUUGUGUUGUGUCAACUUAUUUGUGCUUGUGUCUGCACUCAAAUGUCUUCUAGUGCCCUAAAAGUCCCAUUAUGGUGACACAGUAAUGCCACUUCCCCAAACAGCGUUGAGCCAUGUGGUUGACGCAGUGCAAAUGUAGACACUGUGACCUAUGUUGACCUUAACAGUCCUCCAGCAGCUGUCCCACAAUGCCCAACAGCGACUGCUCUUGUCAUAGUUAUGAACUCCACUACCCAAGGGUCUCACAGCCCAGAAGUCAGCCAUCCUGCCCAAUGCCCCUGCAUAUUUUUGAAAUGCCUUUUCCUGAUUGCCCAGUUUGGUGGGCACACCCAACAGCUCUCCCUUGUGUGGAACUGCCCAACUGACCAUGCCAGCUAGACACAUACCUGGAGUAGACUGGAGAUAUUGGAUCUCUUGGGCCUUUGAGGAGAAGAGGCUGUUCAGGUGCAGCUACGGACUAGUCAUAGAAAUAGGGAUAUCUACGAAAAGAUUACACAGAGGAUGCAGGUGAGGAGUGGAACAGGAAUUUGCAGCAGUGCUGUGUGAAAGCGAAGGAACUGCAGGAGAAAUAUAGCAAGGUCAGGGAGGACAACAGUUGAUCUGGUGUCAAGACCACUCUUACAAUUAGCUGCAUGGCAUACUUGGCAGAGACCCUACCAGCACCUCACUGUGGAUGCCUCAGUGGAAUCCAGGACAGACCUCUGCUGUCAACAGUGAGGAGGAGGAACACCUGUGGGGGUGGCUAGCUAUGCCACAAGCCAGAAUCUGUUUGAGAGUCCAUCACUGUAUAGCCAGUCCCACCAACUGAGCAUGGAUGAGCCUGAUGAAAGGAAAGGAAUCUCAGCUUCUGCCAUUGCAGCUUUGAGAGGUCCCCAGUCUGGAACAUCUGACCCUGAAGAGGAGAAAGACACUAACUAGAGAGGACGUAGUCAAGAUCCUGCAAGCCAGGGAUGCAUCAGACUGUGAAGAGAGAGGCCGGGGGGGGGGGGGGUGAAUACAGGAGGCAGCCUGGAAAAAAGUCCCAGCAGGAAAAGGAGAGGGACAUACACCAGGACAUAAUGGGGCUUCUGAGGCAGCAAACACAAGUGCUGUAGAUCCGUGUUGACCAAGCAUGCAGUCAAUGGAGAACUCCAUUGCAGCAUCUCUACACCCUCCAACAUUCCACGAAGCCUGUUGGGCUGCAUCCCUACCACUCCUCACUGGGGGACAGUAAGGAAACCUUCAGCAUCACAUAUACUGACCUGAGAGACACGACUGGUGUAUGUUUGGCAGAAAUGGACAUGAAUGUUUUCUUCUAUUCUAAUUUUAAAAUUCUGUUCUGUUCAUUUAUUGUUGGCACUGUCUGGUUUUUAAUUACACACUUUUUUUGCACUA